GACGAACGCUGGCGGCGUGCUUAACACAUGCAAGUCGAACGGAAAGGCUCCAGCUUGCUGGAGUACUCGAGUGGCGAACGGGUGAGUAACACGUGGGUAAUCUGCCCUGCACUCUGGGAUAAGCCUGGGAAACUGGGUCUAAUGCUGGAUAUGACCUUUCUCCUUAUGGGGUUUGGUGGAAAGUUUUUCGGUGUAGGAUGAGCCCGCGGCCUAUCAGCUUGUUGGUGGGGUGAUGGCCUACCAAGGCGACGACGGGUAGCCGGCCUGAGAGGGUGAUCGGCCACAUUGGGACUGAGAUACGGCCCAGACUCCUACGGGAGGCAGCAGUGGGGAAUAUUGCACAAUGGGCGGAAGCCUGAUGCAGCGACGCCGCGUGAGGGAUGACGGCCUUCGGGUUGUAAACCUCUUUCAGCAGGGACGAAGCGUAAGUGACGGUACCUGCAGAAGAAGCACCGGCUAACUAUGUG
Molecule: ribosomal RNA, 467 nt
Filed under: uncultured bacterium
Lineage: Bacteria
Description: partial 16S ribosomal RNA
Rfam family: Bacterial small subunit ribosomal RNA
Source: RNAcentral